RNAcentral lists this long non-coding RNA (42214 nucleotides) under Phaseolus vulgaris (common bean). Its description in RNAcentral is "long non-coding RNA (PVUL_LNC003759)". Lineage: Eukaryota; Viridiplantae; Streptophyta; Magnoliopsida; Fabales; Fabaceae. The record is from RNAcentral.
AAAAAAAAAAAAGUAACCCAUGAUAAAAACCCGUAUUUGUGUCUGUGCUAUGUAGCUUACAACCCUUUUUAUUGCAACCCCAUUUAGGUAAAUGAGAGAACUGGGACACCCAUCAAUGCCACGGUUGUGAUGCUUGGUGCCACUGCAAUUGUUGCAUUCUUCACGAGCCUUGAUGUUCUUGCUAACCUUCUUUCAAUCUCCACUCUCUUCUUGUUCAGUCUUGUGGCACUGGCCUUGUUGGUUCGCCGCUACUGUGCAAGAGGGGUGGCUACACAAGCCAACAUAGUGAAGUUCGUUCUCUGCAUUGCUCUCAUAUUGGGUUCUUCUGUUGCCUCAGCUGUUUAUUGGGCCAACACCACAAAAUGGGUUGGUUACACAAUCAUGGUGCCGCUUUGGCUCCUGGGAACAGUGGGGAUUUGGCUUUUGGUGCCAAUGACGAAGAAGCCAAAAGUUUGGGGUGUGCCACUGGUGCCAUUCUUGCCAUCAGCUUCCAUUGGCAUCAAUGUUUUCCUUCUGGGGUCGUUGGACAAGGCUUCGUUUAGAAGAUUUGGAUUCUGGACUGCGAUUUUGCUGGUGUAUUACCUCUUUGUGGGAUUGCAUGCCUCUUAUGACAUGGCACAGAUACUGAAGAAGGAGAGAGUGGAGAGCAUGAGUGAGUCAAAGUUGGAUGAAGAAAAUGUUGUUCCAUCUCUCACAGAGUCUGCUACAAAAAAUGAAGAUCAUAAUAAUAUAAACAAUUGAUGUGGUUCAUGUUUAUCUUCCACUCUGUAUGUAUGUGAUUAUUGUUCGUGUGGAAAUAAGGUUUGUUUUCUAUGUGAAACCAUCGUUUUCCAGAGGCAGAAUUUAUGUUCAAUUUGGAUGGAUCAACAUGAUGAAGAGUCCAAUCUUUCUGUCAAGAAUUCCUAAACACAGGUUCAAAAAAAGUGAACAUUGCUAAUAGUACAGGCUUAGAUGUUCUUCAUAUUGGUCAUGAAUGGUCGCAUAAUUUACUUCACGUUCCAUCUGUAACAAAGAAUUUUGCUCAGUAUGUUAAAAUUUCCUUUUUCUUAAGGAUAAUGAUGUUUAUUUUGAAUGUAUCAUAUUGUAAUGUGAAAACUCAGGGUAACCAAUGAUUUUGAAUUAUGAAUUCCUUAACGAGUAGAGUUUGAAAUAAUCUACAAAAUUUUGUAUCUAAAGUUGAUACCAUGUUGAGAUCAAGCUUUUUUCAAUUCGCCUGAUUCUGCAGUAAAAUGAAAAGAAGUGGUCGAUAUUUAGUUCUUUCUUUGCAGGCAAGAAAAAAUGUAAAUAGUUUUUUUUGGAUUCUAUAUCUAUGGACCCAAUACAUCAAUAUCUCUUACUCAAAUGUAACGAAAUAGACGUAUAUAUUAAGUAUUAUAAUAGUUUUUCCUAUAAGAGAAUUAAGAACUGCAGAUUUAAUGGGUUUGACAUCUUAAAUAUGUUUCAAUCUUUAAAUAAUAAUUCUACCUCCAAUGAAAAAUUUGCAGACAAGUCUUUUUCUUCUUGAAAAUUGGAUGGGCAUUCAUGACUAAAGACUUGUGGAUGUCUCAUACAUUUUUCCUUCUCCUAUUAUGUUGCAUGGGAACAUAUACCAAUGUUUCAAUAAUGAACAACAAGUUUUGGUAUCAAUAUUAUUAUUAAAAUAUUGCCAUUAAACAUGUUUCAUAACUUGCAAUUUGAUAUCAAUAUUAUCAUUACACGUGAAACUUGUAAUUUGAUAUAUUUUUCUCAGUUGAUUAAAUAUCUAAAUUGUGUAGCCACAUUAACUAACAACCUUUGUGUGAUAUUGGAUUGUAUUUCAAGGACGAUGAUUGGAACCCUAUUGGCUUCGUUUGAUGGCAUCAAAAGCUUGUAUAUGUCGGUUUUGAUGUUUUGUAUAAGGGUUGGGACACCCUUGAAGUGUCUUUUUUUAUUUUAUUUAUUCUUUGCCGAUAAAAAAAGCUUGCAUAUGUCAUGCAACACAUGAUAAAUUUUAUCAAAUAGUCAAGGUGCAACUCUAUGUAAUUAAGAGUGUACCAACUCAAACGUUAUGAUUAAUUGUGAUUUGUUCCAUCUGAUUGAUCUCCUUCUAUAGAAGAUAAUUGAUGUCAUCUAUAAUAAAAAGGUCGAUCAAAAUGAAAAUAACAUUAUUCUUGCAAUUGUUAAGUAAUGUUCGAGUUCUAAUCUUGAAAACUUUGAACACUAUUUGUAUUCAUGUUAGGAAUGACACAUAUUUUAUACAUACAUUUAUAAAUUUAUUGUACACCGGAAAGCACUUUAUGUUUUAUUUUCAGUUUUUUAACUCAUUUUUUUUAGUAGUAAUAAAUUGGGUUCAUAUUUACUUUAAUUUUUAUUUCUUCAGUUAAUAUAACAUUUGUUUAUUGCUUUGACCAUAAAUUUUUUCUAAAAAUUAUUUUUGGCUUAUUUCAAUUGUACUGGAUUCCACAUUUAGGGCUUAAAAAAGGACAUGUGGUUUGUUGCAUUGAAGUUCUAUGCUAUUUUCUACAAUUUUUAGAAGUUAAUGCAAAAUUGCUGAACUUUUGUAAGAAACUCAUAUGAAUUUGUUUUUAUUUAAAAUUUUGUAAUUGAGCUUAUGGACCUAAUUAGAACCCACAUUUAGGCUCAUGUUUACUUCAUGCUUUAGAUUAUAUAGCCUAAAUGUGCUUUAAACAUGUAGAAAAAAAAUAGUAUAUUUACUUUUCAAUUUCAGAAAUUGUUUCUUCAUCUAAUUUUCUCUCGUUUUCUUUUAAUUUUUUAAAUUGACUCUUCCUCUCAUUUGAAAUUGAAAUUUGCAGUGGAACUCAAGUCCUUUCGGUGAUCAUAGAAACAUUAUUAACCACUAGACCAUACAAAUUAUCAUUUUUAUUAUACUUAUUAUUAUUAAUAUAAUUGACAAUCCAAGUCCCUUAUUAUUAUAAUUUAUCAAUUCUUUUUCUCUUUAUCUUGCUUUAUCUCAUCUAUUUCUUUUAGUUUUGUCCUUUAUAAGUUUUUAUCCUCCGACUUCUUAGGUGUGUAAUGUAUUACUAUUUUUUACUUGAUACUUAGAUUCAAGACAUAGAUUCUUGAAAGUUGACUCUUUAUUUAAAAGUUUAAGUAAAUUGAGGGCAUGCUUUAUGAGUUUGGCUUCGAUAUAUCCUAUGAGUUUACUAAGUGUGAGUCACAUAAAGUCCCUUUAAUAAAAAACAAAUGAAGUCUAUUAUUUACUAGAUGUAUAAGAAGCACAAAGCAUGGAUAAAUGUUUUGUGACAAAGCUAAAGACUAAAUACUAGAUGCUUAAGAAAAAGUGAAAAACACAUGAAAAAGUAUUAAAUGACCUUAAGAACAAAUGAUGAAUCCAAUGCAACAUUGGAUGACUAGAAGAUCUUAUACGUUUAAAUAAUAGCCUCGUAAUUUUAAAAUAAAUCUUGACACACACAUAAUAUAUCGUUUGAACGAUGUAUGCUCAUUUCAGUAUAGUCAGAUAAUAUAAUUAUUUGGAUAAAAUGUGUCUUUUUUUCUUAACAAAAAUAUAAAAGUUAAAUAUUUAUAAUAAAAACCUAUAAUAAAAAAACACACAUAAAUACACAACGAAUCUUUUUAUAAUAUCUAUAAAUAAAAAUUUAUAACAAAUCUUUUCGUACUACAAGUUUAUCAUAAAAUAGAAAAGAAAACAAAAGUACAAAUGCUUAAAAGAGAGGUGUACUGGUAUGGCCGACCGACAUGAUGACGUGGUUCGGUCUCCCUGACCGAGUUGACCGAGACACACGCUGACGUGGCUCGGUCUCUUUGACCGAGCUGGCUGAGAUACCACGCACAACCAGGCCAACCGACACAUAUAACCAUUAAUACUUAAACCAAGGUCAGUGAAGUUAAACUACCAUUAAGAAUUAGGUAAUGUAACCAUAAGUGUGAUCCAUUUCACUAAUAGGCCUAAUGAGAUAAGUCCAUUAAAAUAAUAUAAAUAACACACAUUUCAAGGAAUAAGGUACGUCAUUUAUUACUGUGCACCUACCUGAGUGUCGAUCACCCGUUUUACUAACUUGAGCCUUCUGCAGGUACCUCCCCCAUUUGGCAUUCACCUGAGACCGAGAGCCGAAGGAGAAAAGGAUCCCAACAAAGCCCUAGCAACCUGCCCAACCGAAGGAAGAAGACAAAGACUUCAAUAGUUCUCUAGGUCUCAUCUCCCUAGCAGGAACAAGAGGUGUAUAUAUAAUUUAUCUAUAUAAUAUAGAAUAACCUUUUUGAAGUUAAUGCUCUUAGUGUUAGAUUCAUAUGAUUUUUUUAACAUAUAGUAAAUAUAGUUUUUAUACUAAUUUUUAAUGGACAUAAUUUUUUUAUAUAUUAUCUAAAUUUGUGUUGGUUCUACUGGCUAAAGUGUAACUGUCAGAAUAAAAAAUCCUUUCAGAACUAACAUAUAUUAUUACAAGAAAAUUAUUAAAUAAAAACUAAUUUUAGAUACAAAAAAUAAUUAGUUGUUACAGUGACUAAAUUAGAUGUCAUUUUAUAAACUAAAAAAAUUAUUGGUUUCUAAAUUAGUUUAUAUUAUUGAUAAAUAGUUUCUAAAUUGAUAUUUAAUUAGCUACCAAAGUUUUUGCUACUAAAUUUAGAAUCUAAAUAAUAAAAUAUUGGUAGCUAAUUAGAUACCAAUUUAAAAACUAUUUAUCAAUAUAAGAAAUUAAUUUAGAAAUUAAUAAUUUUUUUUAGUUUCUAAAAUGGUCUCUAAUUUAGUCAUUAUAGCAACUAAUUAUUUUUUUUUCUAAAAUUGAUUUUUAUUUGAUGAUUUUCUUGUAGUUUGUAGUGUAUCUUAUUAAAUAUAUUUAUUUUAUGUAGUAUAUAUCCUUAUUAAAUAUACUUAUUUUAUAUUUGCUAAAGAUUUUAUGUACGUAUACUAAUUUUUGUGUACCAAAUAAACUGUGACAACACAGGUUCCUAGUCAAAAUUUGAUAAUGUGAUGCUUAUAGGCGUAAUUUAUAGGUUGUUUAAAUGCAGAGCCAAAUUGCUCUUAGACUUAUCGAAGAACCAAACCAAGUACUAUAAUUUAAUAUGCAAUAUUCCAUUAUUUAAUGAAUUUCCAUUUGAAAUCAUUAGAGUGGUCAAUUUAAUGUUUUAGAAUUUUGAUAAUUCCUACAAUACUCAUUAAUGAAACACCAUUAAAUUAGUGCAUGAUAUGUUUAUGGUAUUAAAAAAUCAACAACCCAACAAAUUAAGCAGGUGAGGUGUGAAAAUAGGUUCUUGUUGGUGUCUAUAUCUAGAAGAACUUGUAGAUAAGUAUAUAUUUUUAUUUUUGUCUUUCAAAUAUUAUAAUUAUAUUAUUAUUUUAAUCUCUUAUGUGGUAGUAAUUGUGGUCUCUCUUAUUCUAAUUUGGUCAAUUAUUGUAUCAAAUAUGGUGGUUGUACUAAUUUAGUUCCUCAAUUAAUUGAAAUUUAUUGAUGUCACCUACACCCACUUGAUAAAGACUGAAAUUGCACCUUUGUAUAUUCAGGAAUAAAAUAUCUAAUUGAAUAAUGCUUGAAAAAACCUAAUUGGUACAUCCAAAACCUACAAAAAUAAAACGACAUAUUUAUAAUUCUUGAAAUUUUUUUUUGCAUAAUUUGAAUAUAUAGAAUAUCAAAAUUGUAUAAUAUUGUUUUUGUAUUAAAAACAAAAGAGUAAAAAACUAUUAAAAAAAUUAAUUUUAUAGAAAAAAAAUAAUUAGUCACUGAACUAAAUUAAAUAUUAUUUUAUAAACUAAAAAAAUAUUAAUUUCUAAAAUAGUUUCUAUUAUUAAUAAAAUUCAUAAAUUGGUAUUUAAUUAGGUAUUAAAAUUUUAGUUACCAACUUUAAAAUUUAAAUUAAUUAGUAAUUAAAACUUUGAUAGAUAAUUAUAUACUAAUUUAUAAAUAUUUAUAAUAUAAACUACUUUAUAUAUCAAUAUUUUUUUUUAAUUUUUAAAAUAGUAUUUAAUUUAAUAAUUAAUUGUUUUUGUGUUUCUAAAAUAUUUUUUAUUUAAAGAUUUUUUUGUAGUUAAAGCAACACUUAAAUAUUUUUGUUUUCUUUUUCUAAACCCCAUUAUGAUAAAAUUGUGGCAGAAAAUAAAACUAUACCAGAAAGUGAAGGUGGGUUGGGUAUGCUAAAUUGCUUUUUAGAGCGUGUUUGGCUUUACACUUUGUAGACUAAGUGUGCUGCACUUUUGAAUAAAUUAAUAACAAAUUGUUCGUUUCAUUCCAAACACAUACUUGCUCUUUGCCCUCAUUUGUUCCUGCAUGUUGUGGAGAAGAGGGGAGGGGGGUUUGGUCAUUUUGGAAGGUUCCAAUGAUAGAUACUAAAAAAAUUCAUUCAUAUAAAUCAAUUUUAGAGACAAAAAAAUAAUUAGUUAUUAUAUUGAUAAAAUUAGAUACUAUUGUAGAGAUUAAAAAAUUAUUGGUAUCUAAAUUAGUUUCUAUUAUUGAUAAAUAAUUUUUAAAUUGGUAUCGACUUAUGUAGGAACUAAUUGAAGGAAAUAAGAAAAGACAAAAGUUCUAUAAACUAAUUGAAUGUAAUUGCACAAAAUUGUAAUACUGAUCUGAUUCAUUUUGAUUUACUCAAUCAUAUAUAUAAUAAAAUUACAAUUACCGAAAGCUAUAAAAUAAGAAUACUAACAUGUCUGGAAACUAACCAUUAAUGCAAUAUAACGGUAAAAUAGUUGAAGGAUAAUAAAAUCAGAAUUAAUAAUAAUAAAAUCUGAAUAACCAACAACUUAGAUACCAACUUUAGAAUUUAAAUAAUUGAUAGUUAAAACUUAGGUAGGUAAUUAGAUACCAAAUUAACUAUUUAUCAAUAAUAAAAACUAAUUUAGAUACCAAUAAAUUUUUUAAGUUUAUAAAAUAAUAUCUAAUUUAAUUAUUAUAAAAAUUAAUAAUUUUUUAUUUUUAAUAUUAGUUUUUAUCUAAUGAUUUUUUUUAGUAGUAUUAGUUUCAUGCAGAGUCAACCAAAGAAGAAAGCAAAAGUGUAACUUUUCAAACAUGAAGUGAAAAAUUCACACCCUUUGCCUAAUAUAAUGUUUGAAAAUGAAGCACUUCUAAUUUGAUGAGCCACCCAUCAAUUUUGACUUCACAUUUGGACUUUAGUGUCUUAUCAAACUUUAAAUCCUUUUUAUACAUAUAAUAUUUCUUCCUAAUCUCACUUUUUCUUUCACUUUGAAAAUAUGUCACACUUUGUUCUUGAAUUCCAUGUUUACUUUGUUUGAACUUUGGAUGCACAUUUCUGAAUUUUGUGAAGAAAGAUUGAUUUGAACCUAAAUCACUUUUCAACUACUCACAAAACCCUUUGGUGGUGAAAUUUAGAGUGUUUCAAAGAUACCUGCAAGAAAAAGGUCAACCAAUUUCACUGCACAUGCCACAAGUGUAUAGCUUCAAGAUAUGUUUGGAUAUAUAAUAAAAGUUAUAUCAAUGAAAAUGGAAUGUGUGUGUGGGUGUGUUUGGUUUAGGUUUUCAAAAAAUCCACACGUUUCAUGAAAUUAGGUCAAAUCUUGUUUUGCAUAAGUGACAAAUUUUAGCUCCUACUUUGAAGUUGAUUGUAAAAACAUAAUAAAAUACUAAAAAAAUUAUUAAAUAAAAAUUAAUUUUCAAGACAAAAAUAAUUAGUUGUUAUAUUAACUAAAUUAAAGAUAUUUUAAAAAUUAUAAAAAAUAGUUUUUAAAUUAAUUUUUAUUAUUAUUAAAUAGUUUUUGAAUUUGUAUCUAAUUAGCUACCAAAGUUUUUGUUACCAAAUUUAUAAUAUAAAUAGGUGGUAGUUAAAACCUUGGUAGCUAAAGAAAUAUCAAUUUAGAAACUCUUUAACAAUCAUAUAAACUAAUUUAGAAACAAAAUUUUUUUUAGUCUCUAAAAUUGUAUCUAAUUUAAUUAAUAUAGCAAUUAAUUAUUUUUUAUCUCUAAAAUUAUUUUUUAUUUGAUAAUUUUCUUUGUAGUUUUAUUCAAUUGAGACAUGUUAAUGGAGAGAGACAAAUUUGAUAAAUAUUCCUUGAUAAACAGUUUUUUAUUUUUAAUUUAUCUUCAAAUUUAUUUCUCAAAAAUAUAAUGCAUUGAGAGGGUAGAGUUAUUUUAGUAAAAUUAUUCUUAACAGGCAUGAAAAAAAAAUCAUGAAUUAUAGUUAUUAUGGGAAAGAAUGACUUAUGUACCUAGCAAUUUAAAUUUGUUUAUUUGAUUACGUUUUAUAUUUUUAUAAACAAAUAUUUCACUAUAUAUUUAUUUUCUUUUACAGUGUUCCCUGUAUUUCAUUUGAAUAAAAUUUGAUCUUUCUGCGUUGGUGUUAGAAAAUUUGUUUUGUUCCUCCGUGAUUGGUGUUUGUGUUUGAAGAGAUAAGAUGAAAUUAGGGUUGUUGAAACUUGCAACUCUUGUAUUUUUCUCUUCCAAAUCCCAAUUUCUCUGCUUAAUUUAGUGUUUUCCGUUUGCAACCAAUCAUAGAAUGAACUAUGCAAUUAAAAGAGAACUAAGAAAGAAAAUAUUACAAAAUACAGUAAAUAAUGUGAUGAUAAAAAGAGAUUAUCACAUAUAAAAUGCUUUUCCAUCUGAAUCAAACUCUCCAUCUGAAUGAACUAUAGGGAAUAUAGUAUUUAUAUUUAUUACGUUAUCAGGAAUAUGUGUAUAGAAAAAACGUUACACUUUCCUUAAGUGGAAUUGUUCAUCGCUUGCGUUGCGCAGUACUGGGCUAAGAUCAAAACUCAUUGUGUUUUUGGGCCUAUUAGGACGGUUCGCAGCCCAUGCUAAACUCUUACGCUAUCUCUUUUCCUAGAUGGUCCCUCAAUGAACUCGGUCAAAUGUACAAUAAUCAUAAAAUAAAAUUAGUUUAUAUAUAAAUUUUAAUUUAUAGAAGUUAUAUAAGAAAAUUUUACUAAUUAAACUUUCAGUGACUUUGGAAAUAUAUAACACAAGCAUUUCUUUUUUCUGAACAGAAAUAUUAUUUAGGUUUUUUUGCUACAUUACAAGAUGAGAAAUUUGUAUAAUAAGACUAGUAAUGAAGGAGGUUAAUCUUUUAACUGGUAGAACCUAAUGAUUAUUAUGUUAGUGUUUUGUUCUUUAGUGUAAAGCUAGGAUCCUACUAUACUUUGUAAAUGAUUGAGAAAUUUUAAAAACUAAAAAUAAUAAAAAUAAAUAGUUGUUAUAUUAAUAAAAUUAGAUACUAUUUUAAAAAUUAAAAAAAUUAUUAGUAUCUAAAUUAGUAUUAUUAAUUAAUAAUUUUUAAAUUAAUAUUUAAUUAAAUACUAAUAUUUUAGAUAUAAAUUUUAGAAUCUGAAUAAUUAGUAGCUAAAAUUAAGUAGCUAAUUAAGUACUAAUUUAAAAAUUAUUUAUCAAUAAACUAAUUUAAAUACUAAUAAUAUUUUAGUUUAUAAAAUAGUAUCUAAUUUAGUUUUUAUAUAAAUUAAUAAUAUUUUUGUUUUUAAAAUUAAUUUUUAUUUAAUGAUUUUGUAGUAUUGUGUCUCAUGAAUAAUAUAUAUUGUUUAUUGAUAAUUUUUUUAAAAAUAUUUAAUAUGAAAGAUGUAGAUAAUUGAGUGUAAAAUUACAGUGUAACAACCAUAUAUUAUUAUUAAUUUAUGGAUUAUGAUAAGAUUUUCAAAGAGUGCCUUAUUUUAUUGACCAAACAUGGCAUAAAUCCACAACCACCCACAAACACAACCACCACCUCCCACAUCUGUGACUCUUCUUCCACUACCCCCAUUGUUAUCAUCUUCACCACCAUCAACCUCAUUUCAUAACAUUCCAAUGGGGAAUGCCUUGGGUGGAAAGAAGACCACCAAGGUCAUGAAGAUCGACGGCCAAACCUUCAAGUUCAAGACUCCGAUCAGAGUCGCCGACGUCCUCAAGGACCACCCGGGGCUGGUGCUGCUGGAAUCCGAGGCGGUCAAGCACUACGGCGUGAGGGCCAAGCCGCUGGAGGUCCACAGGGAGUUGGCGCCCAAGAGGCUCUACUUUCUGGUGGAGCUGCCGCGCGAGGCGACGGUGGCGCCGCGGAGGGUGCGGUCGGUGAUCAACAUGAGCGCCAAGGACAGGCUGGAGAGCCUGGUGCUGGCGCGGAGGUCUGCGUCCGACCUCACCAUCAUGAAGGGCCAGGGGAUGGAAGGGGCGGAGAAGGGCGGAGUGCGGCUGAGGAUGAGGGUGGCGAAGGCGGAGGUGGAGAGGGUGAUGCGCGGCUGCGAAACGGAGGCCGAGGCGGCGGAGAAGAUCGUUGGACUCUGCAUGGCCAAAACCGGCGGGGCUUCAAAACCACGUCAGGUAUCUUCAUGCAAGUAAAAUGUAAUUUUUAUUUUUUUUAACUUAAUAUCAACGAAAUUCAAAUAAUAAUAAUAAUUUAUUAUUAUAUAAAAAAUAUAAGGAUUAAAUCAAAACCAAAUAUUAUACCACCAAUUUAUUCAUUCUGAUAAAAAAAUUACCACCAAACUAUUUGGAUUUUUAAUGAUAGACUUUACCAUGCAAGAAUAUAUUUUUAAAUGCAUUAAUUCUUGAUUCUCUUUUAUACUGCAUAUUUUCUGUAAACUUUUAUUUGUGUAUUAUUAAUUAAUAUUAAUAUUAAUAUAAGCCUUGUGGAAAAAAAAUAACCCCUUAAAAUAUGUGUAGCAUCAUUACCACUGCUUAAUCAUUCAAUUCUAUCUGUAUUCUUGAACAAAUUAAUUUUUUAAUGAACUUAAAUUGGUUUUUUUUUUAUCAUAACCCAAUUUUGUAUUUGAUUUCUGAUUAAAGAAAUUGAUAAAUUUUUAUUUUGUUUUUCUCAUUAAAGCAUGCUCAAAUUUCCCUCAUUUUUAAUGGUUAAAAUUUUGUCUGAACAAAAUAUAUAUAAGCACUUUUUAUAUUAUUUAAAUUUAUAUGAUAUACAUAAGUAUUUAUUAGGAUAAUGUGUUUACGAACUGUUUUCAAUAAUUUUUUUACUAGAUAACUUAUAAUUUACAUCGAAAGAAUACAAAAAAGUUUUAGAGAAAUAAAUUUUUGCAUUUAUUUUAGAAAAUGGAGUUGAAUAACAGAAUUCGACCUAAUGACGUUUUAGUCAAUAGUUGUAGUAGAAUUGAUUAUGUGAACAAGUUGACGUAGCUAUAUUAUUAUAAACGGAAAAUUUGUUGUUUUUAUUUGUUUUAUAAAUCAUUAUUGGUGGUCAAAUGGUCAAUGAUUUAUAGAAAAUUUGUAAAAGGGACAAACUAUAAGACGUUUUGUUAAUCAUUUAUGUAUGUUUUGCACAAAACAAAAUUUAUUAAUAUUUAAUCAUUUUUAAUUAUUUUAAACAGUAGUGUUUUUAUAUUCGAAUUUGACCAUGAAUUGAUGCAGUAGUUAGAUGUAUUAAAGUGAUACAAGUUGUAUAUGGUAAUGACUAUAGUACUUACUUACAAAGUAUUGACCACAUUUUCUUAUCAAUUUCUCACACCACCAUUCAUUUUAUAAACAUACAAUGCUUAACAUUAUAUACGACUUUUGAACAUUUUUAGCUAUUCAAAUAAUAUUUUCAUUAAUAUUUUUUUAGUAUUAAAUUUUUUCAUCCAUCUCCCCCUCAUGUCUAACGUUAUUUUAUUAUCAAUAGUUAAAUUUAUAAUAAUAAAAAAUUAUGAAAUAGAAACCAAUUUUAAAAAAAUAAAUUAAAAAUAAAAGAUCAUAUAAUUUGAAAAAUCUAAAUAUCCAUUAUAUUAUCAAUUGUUGAAUUUACACUAAAAAUUUAGACAUAAAAGAUCAUAUAACAUGAAAAAUCUAAAUAUCUAAUAGUGACGCGAUAAAUUUAAAUUUUGAUCAUGUAUAUUUUUAGAAACUUUAAUAUAAUAUUAAAAUAAUAAAAUUUAAUCUUAAUUCAAUAUUAUAAAAUUAAUUUAUUAAAGUGAAGUUUAUAUUAAAAUUAUUAAUAAACAAAAAAUAAUAAUUAAUUAUUAUAUUAAUUAAAUAUAUACUAUUUUAGAGACUAAAAAAUUUAUUAGUAUUUAAAUUAGAACCUAAAUAAUUGGUAGAUAAAACAUUGAAAACUAAUUAGAUAUAAAUUUAGAAACUAUUUAUCAAUAAUAAAAAUUAAUUUAGAUAUCAAUAAUUGUUUAAAUAAUUUUUUUUAGUAUUAUCCUUAUUACAUUAUAAGAAAAUAAACUAUUUUAGAUAUAGUAAUUUUUUAAUCUUUUAAAUAAUAUUUAAUUGGGAGAUUCUUAAAACUUUUUUAAACUAUUUGAUAAAUUUCAAUCUUCACCUCCUAUAUGUGUAAUAUAUUGAAUUUACAUCAUAAAUCAAAGAGCAAUGACAUAGAUACUAAACAAACAUUGAACAAUUGUAAGAGAAGAGAAGAACCAUAUUCCUUUGCAUUCGCAUUCAUAUAGUUGACGACAAGCAAAACAGAAUGGAUAAGGAAAGAACAGCAUUUGAGGCAUAGAAAAACUCAUAUCAAAAUGGUUAAGUGCCAUGUCCUUUUCAAGUUGUUGGGUCUGCACAAAAUAAAGAUUCUUCCACACAUAUUAUACAUAAUCUUUGCUUUAAUAAACACAAACUUGCAUGGUGAUCAUCAUUGUUUAUGCAUUCAUCAUUGGUUGCCAAAAUCAAACUAUUCUCUACACCUUUCUAUUCUAUGCAUUCAUCAAUAUGUUUAAUGUCCUCUAAAUAAUGCAAAGAGGUUUUUUUAAAAAGUUACACUCCAUAUUACGAUCAUGCGACUUACAAGUAGUAAAUAUAGAGUCAAAUAAUUUGUAUUACAGAUGAUGUUUAAUGUUUGAAUUAUGAAGAAGAUGAUUUUCUUGUUCUUUCAUUGAGUCUUUCUCUGUUGUGUCAAUCAAAAGGAUCUAAUUUUGAUUGACUUUAUUUUUACCUUAUAUGUUUGUUGUUACCAUUACAAGAAAAUCAUUAAAUAGAAAUUUAUUUUAGAGACAAAAAAUAAUUAGAUGUUAUAGUGACUAAAUUAGAGAUCAUUUUAAAGACAACAAAUUAUUGAUUUCUAAACUAGUUUCUAAAUUGGUAUCUAAUUAGUUAAUAGAAACUAAUUUAGAAACCAAUAAUUUUUUUAGUCUUUAAAAUGGACUCUAAUUUAGUCACUAUAGCAACUAAUUAUUUUUGUCUCUAAAAUUGAUUUCUAUUUAAUGAUUUUCUUGUAGUGUAGACAAAUAAAAUGUGUGAAAGAAGUUGAUAGGUUUAUGAUUAUUUUGGAUGGACAAUUCUAUAGUCACAUUUUUAUACAGAUGACUAUUUGUAGAUAAAUUAGGGUAUCUUGAAUACCCUUUUAUUUAUUUAUAUAUUUUUUUUACUAAUAUUUUUUAUUUUUAAUAUCAACAUGAUUAGAAGAGUUUGUACCCAUAAAUUAAUGGGUUUGGAUUAUGAAUUGUUGCAGAAAAGGGUGAGUUUUAUGCCAAUAAGUGAAGGAGGGAGUUCCAUAGCAGUGGCUUCUUGACCAGUAAUUUUACAAGAACUAGCCUUCAAAUUUAUCUCACCAGAUGAAUGAAUGAGCUUCAUGGUGCUUUAUUAGUUAAAUAUAAUUAAUUAAGAGUGAUGUUUUUUUACAUUUUCUUGCUAUAUAUUUUUAUCACAAACUGUUGCAAUAAUUAUAUAUGGGUGUUUUCUUAUAUUAGUUUCAUUGAACAGUAAAUUAAAAUGCUGUUCAUACCUUUCUAGUUGUGAAUAUAUAUGUGCUUUCAAUAACAUUUCUUCUUAAAUUAUUGUGUGUAUUGUUCAAGUGUAUAAAGAAAGAGACAUCAUCAAUAACUCUAACUUUUUAUGUUAUAUAUAUGUGAAAAUUAAAUUAUUCUAAUAUUUGAUCAUGUUAUUAUAAAUUUAAUAGAAUUAAUUUUUAUUACAAAGUGGACUUUAAGCUAAGACUCUAAUCUCUAGUGUGUGACUAUAUAUUUUGGAUGGUCCGAUAACGGCCCGAUAGCGGGUGGCACGAUAGGCCCAACACAAACACUCGCUAGGAUAGACUCGAAAUGACUCUGAUACCAUAUUACGAAGUGGACUUUAAGCCUAACUCAACCCCAUAAAACCGGCUCAAUGGGGUGAGGUUUGCACCCACUUAUAUACAAUAAAAGGCUCUAAUCUCUAGUCGAUGUAGGAUCUCCAACAGUUUUGAAGAUAGAAAAAAAAUUAUGUAAUAAUUUUUGUACAAAUUUUUUAUAUUUUCCUUCAAUUAAUUACUGUUUACUACGAGAAAUAUAAAAGAAGAAUAAAUAUAUCAUGUAAGAAUUUGUUUAAGAGAUAAACCAUUAAAAAUUCUUGUUGUAUAUUUCAAGUAAAUGAACUAGAGCACUCCAAAUAUUUAUUUAUAUAGGUUUAUAAUAAUUUUUACUAAUAAAAAAUAAAGUUAAAACAACUAUUAUAACUUUUUUUUUAAAUGAUAAAUGAAACUUUAUGCAUUAAUCGGAACAUAUAAAAAUACACAUUAACUUUAACUGUAAGAAUACAUAUUAGUCAAACAACAAUAAAAUGUCAUUUUUUUUUCACGUGCUCACAAACUAUAUAUUAAUUCCAAUUUGAAUAAGAAUAAUUAAUUUUUUUUAAAUGAUUUUAAUAUAAUAUAUUAUAAGAUUAUGAUAUUAAAACCGUGUAUUGUAGGAGUGUUGACUUAGUUUUUCUUGGUUGUUUUUGUUCUUUUAACUUUGACUGAUACAAAUAUUUAUUAAAAGUGUAUUUAAAAUAUUGUUAAUACAGACAAACUUUAAAUCAUUUUUUUAUUUACUUUAAAAUUUUCAAGUUAAAUAUACGUUAAUAUUUGUUUUUAAAAUUCCCAAUACCAAAUCUAUUUAAUACUGGGAAAUAUUAAUUUGACUUGAUAAUAAAAAUACAAAAAAGUUCACCUAACUAUUAUCAUAUAUGAAUUAAUAUCAACUUGUCACAUUUAAAAAAAUUAUACUUUAUCUAUAUAACCAAGCACAAGAAAUUUACAAAAUCCUUAAUCCACUCAUCCAAAUUAAAAACAUAGCUUAUUAUUUGUCAUGCUAUUGCUUAUAAAUACAUGCUAAACCUAAAGCCUAAUACUCAAAACACUUAAAAUUUUUAAUUACAUAGUUCAUGUCAUUCAUAAUAUUUAUUUCUUCUUUUAUUAUAACAACUAUAGUUGAAGUAUUUUCAAAGUAUUCCAUAAAACUAAUCUUCCUUUGCAAUUUAAUUACAUUUAGAAAAUUUUCACUUUUCUUUCACUUCUCUCACAAACUCAAUAUAACUUAUUAAGUGAAGCAAUAGAUUAGAUUGCAAAACUUUUUUAACUGUAAUUAUUGUAUUUACUCAUUUUACUUUGUUUGUGUUAAAAAUUCAAAACAGAAUCGAAAUCCUACACUAAAUAAAGAUGGACAAAAUAAAUGAUAUAUAAGAAAAUAUACACAAACCUUUUAUCUUAAGUUUAAGGUUAUAAAUAAUAUAAUAAUCUCUUAUAUGGUUAAUUUAUGAUCCAUUAAUACUGAUUUUCUCUCUAGUGUCUCUUUCUAAAAAAUUCAAUAAAAUUUGAGUUUGCAUUUACUUAUAUACUAUGAAAUGUCCUUAUCUCUAAAAGAGUUGGAAUCUCCAACACACACCACGCCGAGAAUCUCCAACUCGUGUGUAAGACUAUAUAUUUAUGGAUGAUCUGAUAGUCACUCGCUAGCGGAUGACGAUCAACAAACUCUCGCUAGAAUAAAUUCUAAAUGACUCUGAUACCAUAUUAAGAAGUUCAACUCAACCUUACACAAACGACUUAUAAAAUAGGGUUUGUAUCUACUUCUAUAUUAUAAAAUGUUUUUAUCUCUAAUUGAUGUGAGAUCUCCAACAAUAUAUACUAGGUAUAUGAUCUUUUAUUCGAGUAGAUAAUAUUUAUUGAAAAUACAAGUACAAUGAUGCUUUGUCAUUUCUAAUAUAUUUAGAUUUAAGUAUAAGGCAUAGGAAUGACAUGGUUGGAGAUUUCAGGUCAUGAUACGAUUUGAUCAUGCAGUAAAUACGAAAAUUACUCUAUUUUUCUGUAUUAGUCUUCUGAAACAUGUUUCUAUGGUAUAAGCUAAGCUAUCUUCAAUUAACACAAAUGUUUUCAGGACAAAAACCACUGAUAUGUUGUUUAUUUGAGAAGCAAUUAAAAAGUCAGAAAAUAGGUAAGAAAAACUGAUAAAGUAGAUAGAUGCAGCAGAGUGAGAAACAGCUAAAAGAAAGCAUACAUGUAUUAAGAGAUAGAUAACAUAUAAUCAAGCUCGUCCAGUGCGCCUUCCAACUUUGAGUGCUAAUUCGGUAUCUAUUUUGAGAGAGAUGUCUAGUGCUUUCACUGAAUGAGUCAACGAACCACUGCCACAAAACAUGUCAUCAAGCAUGGUAAUAUUGUUCAAGAUUGUAAUUUAUAAAAACAGGAUAUUUUUUGAGGCAUUGGAUAAGAUUCACUACAAAAAAAUUAUGAAAUAGAAACCAAAAUAAUUAGUUGCAAUAGUAACUAAAUUAGAGACCAUUUUAGAAACUAAACAAAAUUUUGGUAUCUAAUUAGCAAACAAGGUUUUAGAGACCAAAUUUAGAAACUAAAUAAUUGGUAAUUAAGACAUUGGUUGCUAAUUAGAUACCAAUUUAGAAACUACUUAACAAUAAUAGAAACUAAUUUAGAAACCAAUUUUUUUGUUUAGUUUCUAAAAUGGUCUCUAAUUUAGUUACUAUUGCAACUAAUUAUUUUGGUCUCUAAAAAUUAGUUUCUAUUUCAUGAUUUUCUUGUAGUAAUUGCUGAAGAGUUGAACACCAUGUAUUAUUUAUAUGGAAAAUGAUGUUUUGACCACUCAGGAAGUUGUAUACAACUCUCGAUGGGAUGAGUUUAGAAAUAAAUAUAUAUAAUAAAGGAUAAAUUUAUAAUUAAAUGAUAUGAAAAAAUAUUAAAAUAAUAGUAUUGAGAGUUUGAAUGUGGUUGUAUAAAAAUUGUGAGUUGUCAAUGUAUUAUUACCUUAUUUAUAUUAAGCUUAGAUAUCAUGAUCUUCAAGUAUAAAUUUUUUUCAGUCUGGAUAAAUGGGUCAAUCUUGUUUUGAUCUAAGGCUAACCUGCUUACUAGAAAAUAAUAGUUCAGAUGUGAAGUAAAAAAACUCAUUAACAGAAUCAAUUAAUUUAGAUUGGUUUAGACAGUCUUGUUCAUCAGAUCAACUUGUGAACAUUUCAAUCUGAAACAUCACUACUUGAUUGAGACACAACUUCCAAAAACAGAAUACAUCUAAAUGAGGUAAAUGGGUUAUAAUACCAGAUACUAUGAAAUGAUGUGGAACUACCAAACUUAGAAGUUUACCUAGAAAUGUAGGUCACUCCACUUUGCCCGAUUCUAUGUACAGUGUCUAGUGUGACAUUUCCUGAUGCCUGACAUCACAAAAAUGAAACUAGAAAUUAGCAACUAAAGUUAUCCUCGUUCAAAUUUAUGGUAUCCACAAAAUACCUGAGAUUCUGAAAUUAUUAAGUAGCCCAAAUUAAUAACGAUCCCAAUAAUGCAAGAAAAGCUAAUUGGUCCAAGUAAAAAUGGAGUAUGACUUAGCAGGCACAACAUCUUUUCACUGUGUGAAUCCAUAAAAAAAUUGCCUCAAAGUGUAAACACAUAAUUUUGUAUUUACAUAUCACUUAGCAUAUUUCGAUAUACCUCUUUAAAUUAUUAGACAAUUGAGUAAACAUGCUUGUUUAUAAAGAAAUUGACAGAAGCAAAAAGAAAAUGGUAGUAAUAAAAAAGUAUAUAAAAUCAGUAUCAAAAUAUUGUGCAUCGUUAAUUGUAAGAAAUAACCCAAAAUAUACUACUGUAAAGAUUAACUGAGAACAUUUAGUCGUGAAUACCUCAGUCUCAUAUCUCCCAUUGAUCAACUGCACAGCUUCUUUAAGCAUAGAUAUGUCCACAUCCCCAUUGGGUAGAGGUACAACCAUAUUGUCCAACAUUAUUCGAGUCAAAGAAGUCUUUGUUUGGGAUGAAUAAUGUAACACUUCUUCCACUUCCUCAAGAGUCCUGGUCUCAACCUGGAAAAAACACAAAAACCUUGAAACACAAAUGGGAAACCACCGAAGUUACUUCAUCUGUUACAACCUUCACAUUGAUUUCGACAUCUCUUUUUUUUUCUUUCACAAACCCUCAAAGUGUUAACAAUGGAAGAGAUUAUCAGAGUAAAUGCAGAAUAAAUUUGGAUAAGAGAAGGUAUGGUAUAUUAUCAUAAGAGAAUGUUUAACAAUCAAACAAAUUCACUCUAUACAAAAUGAACCCCGAGAAUUGUUUUUGUAGGCUACAAAAAGUGCUCACACUUACUCAACAUGUACCAAAUUAUUCAUCGUCUCAUGUUUUCAGAACCAAUUUAUUUUAAUUUAAAAAAGCAAUAAAUGAUAAUAAGGAACCCAUCAGAAGGUAACCCAUCAAAUAGAAACUUCUUAAAUUCUAAUAAAUCCCCAUGUAUUUCCUUUUAUCCGUGUUUUUUUGUUUUCAGUGUAAUAAAGAGGGAUUUUUCCUUUCGUAAUGAAUUAUCUCCAUUAUUACUUAUCAGUAAUGUAUGUUCCCAUCAUCUUGUUUCUGCAUCAACAAAUAAUUUGUUACAGAAAUAGUUAUUAAUUUGUCCUAUAGCACAUCACAACAACUGCUAAUAAGUCAGUUGGAACCUGGCAGGCAAAACAAUUUUCAAGAACUUUCUAAGUUGAGAUAAGAACAAUAGACUCAGAAAUGGAAAAGGAAAAGAAAUGAGUAAAACAAUGAAGAGAACACUACCUCAACCUCCAUUUGAAGACUAUUUUGCUCCAGAUACAGGUCAACGGCUUUAAGGGCACCUGUAACACCUCCAGCUGCUGAUAUAUGAUUAUCCUUUAUCAUCACCAUAUCAAACAAACCCAUCCUAUGAUUCCGACCUCCACCUAUUAAUACCUAUAAAAGCAAAUGUUUCUAGCUUACUGAGUAAACUUCAUGCUUAAAAGUAUAAAUUAUUAAUAAUAAUUGUAAGGAAGUGAUCCAAAGUCCAGACCGCCCACUUAUCCACUAAACGUAAAGCUGGAGCAGUUUUUCUAGUCUCCAGCAUAUAUGCAGGGUAUGCUGCAUUUGCCAUUGCCUGUGGAAAAACACAAAAUCUGUAAUGUAUUACUGGGCCAGUAAGAUGUAACAUAUUAACAUAUUUUAUAUUCAAUAUGAAUUCAUAAGUCAACUUAUUUUCCAUAGUUGUGACAAUAAUGUUUUCAAUACAUUUACAAAAAAACAGCCAUAUUAUCAACAAUAUGUGGAAUUGUUAGCCUUCAUUCAGACAAUAUGAGUAACUAGAUACAGAAUAUAGGGUGCAAAGGCAAACAUGGCAAGGAGCGUGGAAGAAAGGAAUGAGGCUGGGACAAGAGGAUAAAAGGAAAGUAUGGGAGUGGAGAGUGCAUACAAAAAAUUGUGCAAAGGGAUGUGUUGAGUGUGAUUGACCAUUUGUAAGGCUGGAAUUCCCUCAGGGAGUCUCUUUUCUUAAGGAUGGAAUUACAAGCCAUCCAACAUUCCCUUCUGAUGUUAAGAGAACUCCAAAUCGGUGAUAGGAAGGCUUCAACUACACUAAGAAUUCUAGGCUAAACUAGAGAAACAUAAAUGAAUUAAAAGAGGUGGCUUUAUUUCUUCUUACCUAGAGUCCAAUGAGGUUUGCUAGGUGACUUUGCCUUCACAAUGUAAGAAUGCCCAAUAAUUUUAGUAUUUCCCUUGUCUUUGUAAAUGAGGCCUUUGUAAAGAACAUUCUUAAUAUACUUUAGGACCCGUACAACUGCAUCUACAUCCCAAUGAUCUUGACAAGGAGAGUUUAAAAACUGAUUAACUACAUUCACUGCAAAUGCAAUGUUAGGACAAGUCGUAAUAAGGUAAUUCAGCUCACCAACUAACCAUUUGUAUCCCCCAGGGUCAAAAUAUGGUUUUCCUUGGUCCAAUACAAGUUUGACACUCGAAUCCAUUGGUGUCAAACAUCCUUGUUUCUUCUAGAAUGUCCAAAGCAUAAUUUCUAUAAGAUAUGACCAAGUCAUCCUUGGACUGUGCAACUUCUAUAUUAAGGAAAUACCUCAAUGUCCAAGGUCUUUUGUCUAGAAUUGUUGAUCCAGAAAUUGUUUUAGUUGGACAAUACCCUCCUUAUCACUACCUGUAACAACAAUGUUGUCCACACAUACAAUGAGAUAGAUACCCUUGGUGAGAAUAAUGGUAAAAUAGAGAAUGAUCAAUAUUAUUUGUAUCAUUCUAAACUACUGAAUGAAAAUUUGAAACUGCCAAAACAACGCAAGAGGUGAUUGUUUGAGGCUACACAGACACUGAACAACAAAUCAAGGAGAUUGCUCCGUGAAGACUUCCUCAUCAAGAUCACAUUAUAGAAAUGCAUUCUUGAUGUCACUAAAACAAAGUCCAAUGACAAGUAAUUGUAAUUGACAAGAGAAGAAAAAUAGAUGUAAUUUUAGCAAUAGGAGAGAAAAUGUCAAUAUAAUCUUGUUCAUAUAUUUGUGUGUAUCCUUUGGCAAUCAAAUGAACUUUAUAGCAAUCAAUUUCACCAUCGGAACCUAUUUUAAGAGCAUAUAACUACCGACACCCAACAACUUAUUUGUCAGCUAGAAGAGGAACUAACUCCCAAGUACCACUAUUUUGGAGGGAACACAUCUCAUUAAUCAUUAUUUGUCACCAUUUUAACAGGUUUUUCGUGAAUAGGGAGUGAGACACUGGGAUUGAAUGGCAUGCAGUCCCACCUCCAUCUCUCAAAGCCUUGCCACAUGCUGAAACCAAGACAACCAUUGUGCCCACAAUAGCCGUUUUCAUGGAAAGCAACAGAGUCACAAUCACGGAUCCAAGGAUUUAAACAAUGCAAUAGCUCCAUAGUGCCACUAUAGUGGUUAUGUAAUAGGUUUGAAAUAAUAUAUUAAUAAAAAAUAUAUAUUUGCAAUACCAUUCAAGAUAACUAUGCUCCCAAAACAGCUAAUCAAAUUUUCUGAGUAAUUAUUCCUAUGCGUUUAUGUUCCCAGAAUGGGUAGGACUCAUCUCCAACAAGUGAAAGGCUUGUUUCAUCUCAUAAGGUUCUGGACUAUUAGUUUUAAUUAAGCUACAAUCAACCAAGUGCCACACUAUACAUGCAGCAUUGUGCAAGAACCUAUUCCAUUGAACACUAGCAGUAGCAGUGGCAUGGUAUUAACAAAUAUGCUCUAAACAGAAUAGCGACAAACCCAAGUAAAUCAUCUUCAGAAAUAUAUCCAAUUCAGCCAUUUUGUAAUUAAGAUGCAAUAUUAUCUACACUUCCAAUGAUUGAUAUCAAAUAUUUUCAUUUCAAUAGCCUACAGACCUUUAACAGAAUAUAGUGUUAGCUAACUAAGUUCAAUAUUUAUCUUAAUCAGUUAGGUAGUAGCAAGCACAAUACAGAAUAGUUAACAAAAGAAAAAGGAUAAAGUAAACAACAGAUUACCUUAGUUAGAGUUGCAAUACCACUCAUCCUCUGCAUAAAGUUUAGUACUACUCUUUCAGCUACAACAAUGUUGUGUGCCCGUCCUGUCCACAACAUACUGAGAAUCAAUAGAAGCCGUUCAUGAAUUAAUUAGAAAUGAAUAAUGUUUUUUAUUCCACUUGCUUUUGCAAUUUUGAUUUCCUAAUAAUUAUCUCACCGUGAACUUUUCCAAACUGUAGCCCUUUAUGGACAAAAUCUCCAUCAUUUCUACACCACUCCACCUGAUAUUUGCAAGUAAUCCUCAAUGAUUCAGCCAAGAACCAACCAUGCAUAUAAUGACUGACGUUCUGUGUAAUGCUUCCAUACCUUCAAAGAAGGGUCAACCUCAUGAAAUAUCAUCUCUGCAAGUGCUAUUCCAGCAAUGAUGCCAUCCUCCUUUGCCAAAAAAUAAGCUUCCACUUCCAUGUCAAAUGGAAUGGUAGCCUUGCAUGUUACAUCACCUACAAUUGAAACAAUACAGAAACCAUGAGUGCAUUAUAUCUACCAAAUAAAAGUUUGCAUAUCAGUAUCAUUUAUUUGCACAAGCCCAACAGCAUGGAAGAAUUUACAUUUGCUUAUAAUAAUCAGUGAACAUUAACAAUUCAACUGGUGAUUUAUAGAUUUAAAACUCAGUAAGAAACAUGGCACCUAGUGAAAGAAAAGAAACAUGAACAGGAAUAAACCUCGAUCCCCAGCAUCUUCUGCAAGUGCUAACUUGAUAAUGCCCUUCAAAUCGUAAGUUGGGUGCUCAGGAGGCUUUAUGGCAAAGGACUCGUAUGAUAUCCUAGAGCUUGUGACUUCAGUUGCAGACAUUUUAACAACCGUCCUGUAAUUGUACAUGAUUUAAAACAAAUUGAUCAGAAAAUACAUAAUGUGUAUAAAGUGGCACAUGAAAAUACUACCAUCCACGAUGAUCAACAAACACACUCUUUAGUGAGUUUUCAUGAAUUUAAGAACUGUUUGGUUUAGAUAAAUAGUUUCAUUAAUGUCUUAUUGAACAAGUACUUCUUAUCUAACCACUUAGGUAUAAGUUGUUUUUAUCAUCAAACGGGGAAUAGGGCUAAACUAUGUUUAUAUUAGUUGUAAGCUGUUUUCAUAAGCUAACAAUUGGGGUUAAGGGCUUAUUAAAAUAAGUUGAAAACAACUUAUUAACAUAUCAUAAGUUAUCCCACACUUACAUAAGUACUUGUGUCAAGUCAAAAUAAGUCCUUAUAAGUUGUAAAUAAGCUGUUUCAAAUGGAGCCUUAAUCAAUUACAUAUGAAACUGAUUAUUUAAUUCCAAUUGUCAGAACUUAUGCUCAAACAGAGCCAAUUAAGCCAUACUAACCAUGCGUAUGUUGCCAUUCACAAACUAAAAAUAGAAGCAAAGUCAAGCAUGAACCAUAUAUAUCACCAAAUAACACGAGCAAGAUAAUCGUUUGACUUUAAUUUGAAAAGUGUCAUUGUUAUCCUUACUUUUUGGAAUUCUCGAGCAAUCAUAAACCCACAAACACUUAUAAUCACAAACAAAUCAAGUCUGAGCAAUGUGAAAAAAAACUAUCUAUAUGAUCAACGUGAUGAAUACAUCCUCCAAGAUAUAAGAGACUCACCCAAAAAAUGGUCGGGGCAACAAAACUAGUCAAGCCCUUUAGUGAGAAUGAAUAACCCAGAAACUCAGAGAAAAGGGAGAAAAAAUUAUACCAGAGAUAGCUCUUAAAAACACAAGCAACAGAUAUUUAUAAUGAAAAACAUAGAUUCUAAAACCACCAAAGACGAGUCAAGAACAACAAGUAAACUAAAAUAUCUACGUUUUUUAGGAUAAAAUCUAAAUAAAAUUACAAAGAAUUUUUAAAUAUAAUCAAAUAGACAUAUCAACAUUUUGAAAUAUCAACAACAUACCCAACACUUCUCUCUAUAUACCCUAUUCCAGAAUUAUAACCACUAUCACAAGUGCCUUUUCACAAAGGACAAACAAUAUUCAAUAAUAAAGAGGGUAUGGCUGUUUGAAAAAAAAUAGGAAAAAAAUUAAAAUUAGCUUAAUUUAUAAAAGUUCUUACCUCUAGUUUCUAUAAAAUUUACUUUUAAUUUAUUCAUAAGCUAUUUUCAGUCAAAGGAGAAUUUUAUUUUUCUUAUUUAUUCUAGGAAAAGUCCUUAUGUAUAUUUCCAAAAAAAAAAAAGCACUUUACCUGAGUUUUGAAUUUGAUUGCGGUGGAAGUUUAAGUGGGAGGCUGCAACAAAUAACCAAAAUACGUAAAAAAUGUGAGAAUUUCUUACAAAAAUUCGGAAGCAAUGAAAUGAAACGGCGGCGUUUUGUUGCGGGACAAGGAAGAAGAAGAAAGACCUUAGUGCAGGUGCAAACGCUGCGGUGUGAAACGCGAUUUGUAGUGGAAACCCUUGAACGCCGCAGCUUACAGCCAUGUGAAAACGCGAUUCGAGGGUAUUUUUCUCUCUUCAACUUCAAUUACUCAUCAUGAAUUGCGAAAAUUGAGUAGUGUUUGUUGCACCAUUAUACACAAAAGUGUGUGCAUUUUAGCAUCAACUUUUCUAUUGGGACCUCUUUUCCACAAAGACCAUGAAAGCAAGUUGAAAUUUUAUUCCGAUUCUGAAAUGGAAAAGAUCAUUCUUUGCGUGACUAAGCUACUCUUCUGUGAAGGGGUUUAUGCAUACUCUGUUCUGGGAUGCUGGCGAUUUUUUUUUUCUUUUACUUUGCUGAUAAAAAAAUAAAAUAAAUUUUAUGAUAUUAUAUUAAUAAUAAAAUAUAAAUAAUUGGUAGGUAAAUUCUUAAUAGUUAAAUAGAUAUUAAUAUAAAAAUUAUUUAUUAAUAAUAAAAAUUAAUAACUUUUUUAAUAUUUAAAAUAAUAUUUAAUUUAAUUGAUAUAUUAAUUAAUUUUAUUUUUUAAAAAAUUGUUUUUAUUUAAUAAUUCUAUUAAAUAAGGUAUUUAUUUUUUCAUCUUUUUGUCGAACUUUUUUUUCCUUUUGUUCUAUUAAUAUUUGAGUUUGAGCAUUUUUUUUUUUUUUGUGGGUCUUGUUUUUAAAUGUUUUCCUUCAUUUUAGCAUGAUGGGAAAGAAAGCUUGAGUGUGUGAGAGAGGUAUUAAUUACAUAAGAGAGCGGUAAGAAAAUAGAGCUAUAUGCUUUAACAUAUUAUUCCAAAACUAAGAAAGUUUUACAUUGUUUAAGUCUUUAUAAACACAUUCUCCUUUUAUUUCAUAGAAAAUAAAUCAAAAUAAAAUUAUUAGACCGAGUGUGAAAAUAAUUUGAAUGUAUUGAUUUCAUUCUAACUAUUAUCUUUCAAAACAGCUAUAUCAUGAGAAGAAGAAGAAAAAUCUAUAAUGUAUAAGUACGAAGAUAUGAAGUGUGUGCAAAAUUAUUAAUAAUAAAUUCAUUUAGAAUUAGGGUUUUAUUGGUUGUACAUUUUUGUUUAACACAAACAAAAUUUGUGUUAGCAUGUGUAAAGGUUCAUAUAUCUCUUUAUAAAGAAUCUCAAUGUAAUGAAUUUUUUAUCAAAUUAAUGUACAAGAGUGAUUAAGAAAUGAACUUUAAGUAUAACUCAAUUUCAUAAAAUCAAUUUAUGAGAUAAAAUUUGUAUCCACUUAUAACGAAUGAAAUGUUUUAAUCUUUAAUUGAUGUGAGAUCUCUAACAUCUCCUCACUCCAAGAGUGACAGCUCGUACGUGAGACAAUAUAUUAUUGGUGGUCUGAUAACGACUCACGAAUGACACAAUAAACCCAACAAACUCUUGUUAUGAUAGAUUUUAAAUGACUCUAAUACCAUAACUUUGAACAUAUUAUUUAGAUAGGAAUAGGAAUGAAAAAAUACUGGAGGACUAUUAUAGUUUUAGAUAUAUAGAGAAAUUAUAUAUGGGAAGAAAAUAAGUUAGAAUCAAUUAGUUGUUAUUUAUUAGUACACUAAAAUUUAAGCACUUUGAUUAAUAUAAUUUUACAUAGGAUAAUAAGAACUAGUAUUUUUAACCGUGAAACGUGCGUGAUUUAUUUUUAAAAUAUAAUAUUUUUAUAAUAUAAAUUUAAUUUGAUAAAAAAAUAUUUUAAAAAUUAAAUAAAUUAUUUUCACCUCGUCAUAAAAAUAAAUAUUCUUAUAAGAACUAAAAUGUCCUUGUAAGAUCAAUAAUAUUUUAUCAACAUUAAUCAAAAAUUUAUCUAUCAAUAUUACUUUAUAGUGUUGAUGUCAGUUAUUUUUUUAUUAUUAAAAUUAAUGAGACUAAUUUUCAGAAGUAUAGUAAAAAAUAUUUAGUUAGCUAUAUAGAUCAAAACUAUUUUUCAGUAAAUAUUUAUUAAAAUUUUCUUAAUCAAUAUUAAUAAAAUUAUUUUUCGGUCGAUGUCAAUCCGAUUUUUUUAGUAAAGAUUUGUAUUAGUUAUUUUUUUUCAUGUAUAUUGCUUUGAAGCAGUAAUUUUUGUAUCUGAUUUUUUUAUACUUGUUAGUCAUUAAAAUACUCUAUUUAAAUAAAAAUAAAUAAAAAAUAAUUAAAUUUAAAUUUCAAUAUCUAAACAAAAAAAUUAAAAGUUAAAUAAAUUUAAUUCAAAUUCAAUAUGUUUAGGCCAAUAUUUUCAUUAUAAUUUUAAUCAUUUAUCAUCUUAUCAAAUUUCUUUACUUGUAUAGGUUUAUUUCCUUAUAAAAGUCAUUUGAGUGUCGUAGAAGAACACAUCAAAUUGUUGGGUCAGUGAGCUAUAAUAGUACUCUCUGAAAUUUUUUUUUUUUUUCUGGUUGAAUAAUUGAUGCAUAUAGCUAUUAUUAUUUAUUAUUUCCCCCUAUUGUGCUACAUCUAUCAAUAAAUCUUCAGCUCAAAAUAUGAAAAAAAAAAACUAAAAUUCAUAUCUCAUGAUACAAGAAAAACGUUUUGUAAUCAAUAAAUAGUAUGAAAGAAAAAAAAAUUAUCACCAAAAAAAUAAAUAAAAUAAAAUAAAAUGAGACAUUUUAGAAAUGUUGUAACCCUUAUAGAGACACUUCAGGAGUGUCCAAACACUUAUACAGAAAGUAGUCAUCAAGAUCAAUCUGUCUCAUACCUAAUCUCCAAACAUACUUCAGACCUUGCAAACCACCAAACCAAUCCUCAAAUGAAAGACAUGAUAACCCACAUUAACCGAAAUCAUCAUCUACUUUAUCCAGAUCCUUAUAACCAGUCUUUAGUCAAAACAAUACCCACAAAUCAUUCCCUAAUACAACCAAAUCCAAAAACCUAUGUAAGCAAAAAAACCUAUGUAAGCAAAUAUUUGGUCCAAGAACAGUUCUCACAUUUUGAGGCCAGUUUUCUGUAUAUGUUUCAAUCAACCAUUUUGACCUUUUAUAAUCAGUUUUAUUAGUCGUUUUCAAUGCCAAAAUGUUGAGCAAUCAAAAGUAAAAAUAUCAAGAAAUAUUAAUAAUAUAUCUCCACCAUAAUUUCAUGGUUAUUUUAUUUAUCAAUUUCUUAAGGUAAGACAAUAAUGGUUAAUAAAAUUAUUGCUCUGUAUAAGAUGCACGCAAUCUGCAUAAUUCAUUUUAGUCAAACAAACAUUCUAUUUAAGCAAAGUGUUUUCCUUCUUAGGAUUUAGGUUAUAAUUUGAGUUAUUGUUUUUGUUUUAAACCCUAAAUUUUAAAUCCUAAAUUUAGAACGUGUAGAAAGAUGAGUCUAAGUGGGAAAGUAGAAGGUGAAGUAGAGAUUCAAGCAUCUGCAGAUAAGUUUUUCCACAUCUUUCGAAAGAAACUUCACCAUGUUCCUAAUAUCUCCUCUGAAAGGAUACAUGCAGCUAAAGUUCAUGAAGGUGACUGGGAAAAUGUUGGUUCUGUAAAACAUUGGGAUAUUACCAUAGGUAAGGUUCUUGUUACGUUUCAACUUCUGUUUAAAAAUUCAAUUAACUAAAGUCAAUACUACAAGAAAAUUAGUAAAUAGCAACUAAAGUUAGAAACAAAAAAUAAUUAGUCACUAUAUUAACUAGAUUAAAUAUUAUUUUAGAGACUAAAAAGUUACUAGUAUCUAAAGUAAUUUUUAUUAUUAGUAAAGAUUUAUAAAUUGAUAUCUAAAUAAGUCACCAAAAUUUUAGCUACUAAUAUUUUAGAUUAUAAAUUAGUCUCUAAAAGAUGAAUAUAGACUAAUUUAUAAUACAAAGAAGUAAGUAGCUAAAAUUUAGUAGUUAAUGAUUAGAUAUUAAUUUAAAAACUAUUUUAUAAAUUUUAUUAAUACUAGAAACUAUUUUAAAUAACAAUAUUUUUAUUUAAUGAUUUUCUUGUACUACAUACAAAUUAUUUUAAAUUUAUUUUAAGGAGUUGAUUCUAUAUUUAAAUAUUUUAAAAUCAAUCCAAUUAAUAACUUGAUAUUUAUGACAUACUUGUAUGGAUUUUUAAAAAUCUAAAAUUUGUGUUCACACUAAGAUUUUGACAUAGAAAUCUUUCUAUUGGUUUUUAUGAGUUUUUUUUUUCAUUGAAAUAACUUAUAGUGUGUUCGAACAGGAAAUUUUGAAAGGAUAAUUCAUUUAUGUUGUUUUUUGUAAUCGUAUUGCUUAAAAUUAGAUAAUUUUAAAUUCUACUUAGAAAGUUAGAAUUUGAAAUUUUUUAUAAUCUCAAAUUCCUGUUUUGAUCUUGGUAGUACUUUGUUUGAUUUUGGUUAAGGUGUGUACAUCACUAUUAUUUUGGUUAAGAUAUCUAAUCAUUAGUUACAAAGGUUUUAGUUACUUACUACUUUAUAUUUUAAAUUAGUCUCUAUUAGUCUUUUAGAGACCAAUUUAAAAUUUAAAUAUUAGUUGUUAAAACUUAGGUAACUAAUUUAGAUACAAAUUUAGAAACCAUUUUAUAAAUUUUUAUUAAUAAUAGAAAUCACUUUAGAUAUGAAUAAUUUUUUAUUUUCUAAAUUAAUAUCUGAUUUAGUUAAUACGGUGACUAAUUAUUUUUUGUCUCUAAAUUUAAUUACUAUUUAAUGAUUUUAUCAUUAGUCAAGUUAAUUAAUUAAUUAAUUGAAACACUCAUCUUUUGCUGCAAUGGCUUUUACAUACAUGUGUAUAACUUCAUUUGCAUUUUUUGUGAUAAAAAAAAAAAUUUAUGGAACGAUGUAGAAGGGAAGAAGACAAGUGUGAAGGAGAAAAUUGAAGCUAUAGACGAUGAUAACAGGAUCCUAACAUACAGCCUCUUUGAUGGGGAAAUCAGUGAGAGUUACAAGAGUUUUAAGGGCACACUGCAAGUAAUUGACAAGGAGAAUAAUGGGGGAAUUGUGAAAUGGACCUUUGAAUAUGAAAAACUCUCAGAGAAUAUCACUGCUGCAUCUCCUGAAUCAUACUUGGAGUUUGCUUCUGUGGUCACCAAAGAUAUUGAUGAUCAUCUUCUCAAGGAAUAACACCAGAAAGAAGAAGGCACAUGUGGUGAUGAAGUGGCUUUGGCUUGCUAGUUUUAAUGCUUAUUAAGUAUUAAUAAGUUGGGUAUGUGAUAAUGCUAUAUAUGCUUCUCAUUGUGGAUGCUUGCACUAUUUUAUGCAUGUCAACUUAAUGAUUGUAUGCAUAGUUCAUUUGUGGUACUUUUAGGGUUUGGUUGUUGUUCUUGUAAAAUAUAUGUUUUAAAUAUAAAUAUGAGAAUAAUUGAGUGAAGAUAUUGAAUAUUGUAUUUUUAUUAUUUCAAAGGUCAACUUUUCCUUUACUUUCUUUCCAAAAAAAAUUAUUGGUCAAGAUCUGUCCACAAAUAUACGAAACAAGUAUUGAUUCUUCAUAACAAAUCCUUUUAAUGUCAAGUUGGCAUCUUAUAUCUUAAGUUACAUUUGGAUUUUGGAUUUAUAAAUGUCAGAGAUGUUCAAGAAAUGAAUCAAACUUAAGUUUGGAUUCUAGGAAAAAUUUGCAUCAUAUAAUCUUAAAAAAAAAAACAAAGUAUUUGAAGGCACUAGAAAGAAGAGAGUUUAAGGACAUAAAGAGAUUUUAUUUUGCAUGAUAACAUGAUCAAAUGUACAACACAAAAAAAUUCCAAGAACCAACAUUAUAACUCAAUAUAAGAGCAAAAUGAAAAAUUCACCAAUAAAAGGAGGGAAAAAGUCUAAGAGAUAAAAGAGAAAUAGUAGAUACAUCCCUAUUGACCACCUAUGUUAAUCAUGUUAUCAAGAUUUUGUGAGGGACAACUAAGAAAUGAAAUUUAAGUAUAACUAAAUCUCACAAAAUUGGCCUAGUAAAGUGAGGUUUGCACUCACUUUUAUAAUAUAAUUUGACCUUAUCUAAGACAUGACAUCUCUAAUAUAUUCUCUCAUGUCGAGGAGUGGACAUCUUGAAUGUAGGACUAAGGGGAACCCGAUAGUGGAUGAAACAAUAGGCCCAACAAACAUGACUAGGUAAGCUCUGAUACCAGCUUAUUAAGAAAGUGACUUUAACCCUAGUUCAACUUUAUAAAAUCAACUUAUAAGGUGAGGUUUGCACCCACUUAUAUAUUGUAAUUUAGCCUUACCUCUAGUCAAUGUUGGUUGCUCAACAUUAUUAAGAAAGUGAAAUUUAAGUCUAACUCAAUCCUACAAAAUAACUAAUAAGUGGAAAUAUUGUCACAUGUUGCUUCAAUGAUAAAGAUACCAACAUAACAUUAUAUGUUCUUGCAAUAACCUAUCUCAUAUCAUGUAUAGUCAUCCACUUGUCUACACUAACCUAAAAAGAUAAUUGAUUGUAAUCAUAUCAUUGUAAAAACAAAAAACAUAAAGUUAAACACUUACACAAUACUUACCAUUAAUAUAUCAUCAACGAGUAAUAAUAUUUUUAGUUGGCUUACCCAUUUGUAAUCUCCCAACAUCGCUUGCAACUCAAAUACACACACAAUUCCUGGUUACACCUAGUAUACAAACCACGUCUUAUCAUCCCUUCUUAACAUCUUUCUAUGAUAAAGAACACAUGUAUUAUUUAGUUGACACUUUUGACUACAAACACAUAAUAUGACUUUAUGUGAUGAAGGUAACUCCAAGAGAGGAUAUAAUCUCACAAGGUUAUUUUGCAACAUGAAGAAUACAAAUGUUAAGCACAACCCAAAAAAAAUAAUAACACUGGGCCAUUGUGCGUUUCUAAGAUUUACAAACUUUGAUGAUUUGAACUCUUGAUCUUGAGUCUUUAUAUAAUCUUUGACAUAUAUAAUGCUCUAUGUAAUCUUUAGAUACAGUCUUCUUCUUCUUGAUAACAUAAUCUCUUUUCUCUUGCACGAUAUUUGUUCCAUUUUUCCUUAAAAGACUGGUUCAAAGCUAAGAAAUGAAGGUUACACUUCCUUAUGAAUGUUGCAAGGCUAAACAUAAAAACAAUGCACGAAUAUAUUCUCAAAUAAAGCAGAAUAAAUAAUUUAAGAAAUAUUCUUGCGCAUUUUCUCACAACUAAUUGUUUCUUAAUGUGAAAAAUUGAAUGCUGAUGAAAUUCUUAGUUUCCUUAUAUAAAAACUUAGCACUUUUAUGUUCAGUGCAAAUAUGAUGAUCUUAAAUUCUUUAUAAAUAUUUAUGCAUAAAAUCAUUUAUGCUCUUAACAACCUCUUGCGACUUUUUAUUACAAUUAUACUUAUAAGAACUUAGAUCGUUAGCUUAGAACUUAUGUCCUUUUUUUAUAGUUUGAUGAAAUUUUAACUUACAUAGAACACACAUUAGAAGGUCCAUAACUUAAAAGUAUAGUAUGUAUAAGGCAUGGUCAUAUUUGUUGUCAUAAAAAAAAUCACAAAGAAAUGGUCUAGUAGUUUUAGAUAAGUGUAGAUUGUCCGAAUCUUAAUAGUAUCUGGAUAAGUAAUUUCACAUAGCUUAUUUGUGCACGCCUUAACAAAUGUUUCCUUAUAUGCAAUUACCCUUACAUCUUUGAUCAUCAAUUAAGAAAGUUUGUUCUUCAUCUUCUCUACCUUAAUCCAUAUUUUGUUUUGAACUUUACCUUGUUAAUGUUUACUUUAUGUUUGUCCAAGACAUAUUAUUGAUCAUUCAUAAAAUUUGAUUCCUCAAAUAAUAAGUUGAAACAUCUGAUUUAUAAGAGACAUAUAUUAAGAAUGAUUCUACUAGAUAGAAUUAAUGAAAGUCGUGUUGCCUACUAAGAUGGUUGAAUAUUAAGAAAGUCGUAUUUUAAGAUGGUUAAAUAUUAUGAUAAUUACAAAAUUUUAACUUUACAUUUAAACCUACAUUCUAAGCUUCUAAGUAUAUAGGAGUCACCUAACUUUUUCAAUAUAUUCAUGAAUUUCAUCAACAUAAAAUAAUAUUUUCCCCAACCCCAAAACCAUUUGGUUAAAAAUCAGAAUAUUGUAGAGGAAAAGAUUCAGUUUGAACCUUUCCCUUAAAAAAAAUUAAAAGUUUGAUGUAUUGGAAUUUUAUAAGUGUUUUUUAUGAAUAAACUUAUUUUGUAAGUACUAGUUUUUAUUUUUAAUUAUGCAAUAUGUGUAUUUUUAAUAUUAAUGUUUAUCAACUGGUACUUUUAAUAGUUUGUGUACUUUAUAUGAUUGUUAUCAUCUUACACUCAUUCACAACUAUUCUAUGUGGUCGAGACCAUCUCAGCCUCAUACAUAAUCUAGAACAACUCCAAAUCAAAUAUCAGAUUAACGCUUAUUAAAGUAAUAACCUUAAAUCAAAUCAAUCAUGAUAAACAAUCAUACAUCUCUAUUAACACAAGAUUAAGGAUCAUGUCCAUACUGAUCUAGGCUCAUCCAUAAAAAAUAUCAUUCUAACUCUAUAAAUAGGUUGAAGUUGGGACAUGUAAGAUUACAUUUAGUAACUUUUUUCUCUCAACUACCCUAAGACUGACUUUAAUAUCGAAGUAUCUUUUGCAAGUACGUACUCUCAUACCCGAAACAUUCAUCAUACCUUGGACAACAAAACUCCAUGAACUACUUAGUUGUGCACGAGAAGAAGAUCUACUUAGUCUUUGUAAGAAUAGUUUUUUGUUCUUUACGUUUAGAAUUUACAUUGCAUUUGUUACCUCUCACAUUGAGUUUAUAACUAAUUAAUUUGUUCAAUGAUUAUUUAAAAAUCGACUUCAAUGAUAUCAUUUAAGUUUUUCUAUUUGGAAUUGUGUUAGGUUUAAUUGCAAUAGUUUUGGUUGGACUACUUGUAAUUGUAUAUUUACAAUAGCGAUAAGAUGAUGAGUUAGAUAUAAUUAAUUAAUGUCUUUUCUUUGUUUUCUAUCCCUUGUUCUUUUUAUAAAAGGAAUGAAACAAAUUUUUCAAAAUAAUUGAAUUAGAGAUGUAAAAUCAAAAUAAAAAUGAAUCAAUGUCUACUAUAUUUAAUAAUGGGGUUCGAUUCUUGCUACCUGCUUAUAUUCUCUAUUUAUUCUAUUUAAUUAAAUUUCUCUUUUUACUUCUAAAAUAAUGUAGAAUUCUUAAUGAAUUUGGCAAUUGUUUAUUUUCGUUUUCUAAUUUAAUUUUAGUUAUAUAUUGAUUAAUUUGGAUAUUUUGUUUAAUUAUAUAUAUAUAUGUAAUAUUUCUAUCUUUUAUUACAAACAAAUGGAUACCAAUUCUCACUCACCCAUUUUUUAUCUUCUAUAUACGUGUGCGUGGAGCCACACAUAACCGGUUAGCCGGUUUAACCGGUACAGAACCGGUCUAAAGGGGUGGACCAGAUUGUAUCCGUUUUCUGUUUCAAAUGAUCAGACCGGAAAGUCCGCUCCGGUUUAAUCGUUAAAACUCGGUUCUAAACCAGAACCCAAACUUAAUUCAGGGUGAGGAAUAUUUGUUUCAGAGAGAUAAAAAAUAUAUAUUAUUAUAAGUUUAUGAAUUAUUAAGAUUAUGACUUUUUAAAUAAUUCUAUAUAUAUAUAUACAUGAUAUAUAUAGUCUUUAAAAAUAUAAAUUGGUAUGAAUUUAAUAUAUAAAAUUAUUUUGGUACGUUUAACAAUAUCACGUAACUUAAUAAUUUAGGUCAAGAGUAAUUUAAGUAUAUUUUUUAUUAUUAUUAUGUGUCUUUUAAAUUUAAUUAAUAUUUUUGAUGCGGUGAUUGAUUUAAUAAUAUUAUUUUAAAAAAAUUUAAGAUAGAAGCAUGGACACCUUGAAAAGUAGAAUUUUUUUCUAAAGACAAAUUAUAUCGAAAGAAAGAAAGUCAUUACUUAAAAUUCAAAGUCAAAAACAAUUUAAAUACAUCAUUCUUCUUUACUCAUCCUAUGCGUUCAUAUCUUAAUAGACUUAAGAUCAAUAUAAAAAAAAUCAUGAAAUAGAAACCAAUUUUAAAGAUAAAAAAUAAUUAGUUGCUAUACUGACUAAAUUAAAGAUUAUUUUAGAGACUAAAAAAAUUUUGGUUUCUAAAAUAGUUUCUAUUAUUGUUAAAUGGUUUCUAAAUUGAUAUCUAAUUAGCAACUAAGGUUUUUGCUACCAAUUAUUUAGAUUCUAAAUUUGGUAGCCAAAACCUUUGUUGUUAAUUAGACACCAUCUUAGAAACAAUUUAACAAUUAUUUUUGUCUCUGAAAAUUGAUUUCUAUUUCAUGAUUUUCUUGUAGUGGAUUACAACAUAAUUUCUGAAUUUUUUAUUUAUAUUAAAAUUAAAUAUUAUUUUUAGUGUUUCCAAAAAUUAAAUUGCGACUGAUAUACCAUUUCCAAAAAAUACGAGCAUUAAUAAAUAAAUAAAAUACCAAUCUCGUGCAAACAUAUCAGAAAACCCAGUAAGGUAAGAAAAGAGAGGAAAAAUUUAACAGAGAAGAACAGUUUUCAGAAUUCUGGGAAAUUAGAAAAGGAUGAUUGGUAUUAUUAUUGUACAAAUUGGGAUGAGAAAUUAAAGGAAGAAGAAGGAAGCAUUAAUUUGAAACAAUAAAAUAAAAUUAUUUGAGCAUUAAUUAUUAUUACCUUAAUCCAUCAAUAAUUGUUGUACACAUAUGAAUCUGAACUAAUUUCUUGACCUAAUCACCAAAACACCAUGAUGCUGCACAAAAUCACCAAAAGUGGGAAGAACACAGCCAAAUUUUUUGGACUAGCUCCAUUGAAAUCCUCAUCCACUGGAUACAAGUUCCCUGGUGGACCAGUCAUGUACAAGUAUGCUGAUGAUGGUGGUGGAGGGCAAUAUGUUGAGGGAGGUUUCUUGGGUGAAGGUGGUGGUGGAGAUGGAUACAAGAUCGGUGGCGGCGACGAUGGCGGCGGCGGCGAUAAAUACUCUAUUAUUGGUGGUGGUGGUGAUAAAUACUCUAUUAUUGGUGGUGGUGGUGAUAAAUACUCUACUAUUGGUGGUGGUGGAGUGUAACCACCCUCACAUGGUGAGCACUUCUCAUUAUUACCAUUAUCAUCAAGCUUCCUUGAUUCCUCACCCUUGAUGGGAGUGGUGAGAAAAGCAAGCACAAGGAUGAAAGUGAAGAUCUUUGAUGGUUUAGUUUGAUGGGUUUUUGUGGCCAUAGUGUGGGUUGGUUUUGAUUGGAAUUGGGGUGGUGGCUUUGAAUUAUGGGGUUUUUUGUGUGGGAUUGUUGUAGGGCAUUGGAUUUUGAAGAGAGGAAUGUGCAUGGGAAGUGUAAAACUAUGGGUGAAGGAGGUUUUUAGGUUAUGGGAAUGAUAAUUAAUUUGGUUUUCCAAGGAUGGAAAAGUUGGGUGGCACUUGCUAUUAUGGUCCUUUGGAGUAGGAGGGACUCUUAUCAUGUGGAAUCUAAUCUCCCACUAGCAUGUGGAAAUUAAUGUAUGCAAUGGGUUCCACCAUGGAUACAAGUCCACAAAACCUCUAUAAUUAAUUAACAAUAAUCAAAUCCACUUUGGGUGGUUGAGUUUUGCCACAUGAGUUGGGUUUAAUCUUUAUAUUUUCAUCCAUUAAUUCAUAUCUCCCCUUUACAUAAUUUUAUUUGUAAAGACACCUCAAUGGCAUUUAUAAUUUAAAAACAAAGUAUGUGUGAUAUAAUCACUACCAGAAAAUCAUUAAAUAAAAAUUAAUUUUAAAAACCAAAAAUAAUUAGUUAUUAUUUGAGUAAAUUAGAAACCAUUUUAUAAACUAAAAGAGUUAUUGAUAUCUAAAUUAGUUUCUAUUAUUAAUAAAAAAAUUAUAAAAUAAUUUCUAAAUUAGUACUUAACAUUUAGUUACCAAUGUUUUAGCUACUUACUAUUUUAUAUUAUACAUUAGUCUCUAUUAGUCUUUUAAAGAUCAAUUUAGAAUAUAAAAUAUUAGGAACUAAAAGUUAAGUAGCUAAUUUAGAUACAAAUUUAUAGACUAUUUUAUAAAUUUUUAUCAAUAAUAUAAACCACUUUAGAUACUAAUAAUUUUUUAGUCUUUAAAUUAAUCUUUCAUUUAGUUAAUAUAGUGACUAAUUAUUUUUUGUCUCUAAAUUUAGUUACUAUUUAUUGAUUUUCUCGUAGUGAAUAGAAAAUUAUAAAAAAAAAUUAACUGGGUAAAAAAAAAAGUUGUGCAAAAUCAAAACUUUGCUUAUUAAAUAUUAUAACUUUUUUUGCUAUCUAGAUGCAAACUUUUGAAUCAAAGUAGACAUAGGAAGAGGUAUCUCUAAAGUGUGAGGCUUGAGAAGAUGAUAAAGUAACUCUUUUUUUUUCUUUUUUCUGUUUAUUCUAUUUUGUGAAGCUUCUUUAGCUUCACAUGGCAAAUCUUCUUUGAUAGGUAUUCGAUAUGCAUGUGGCCACAUGAUUUUGGGAUCAAAUGAUAUUAGACUAUCAUUGACCAUUCUAUAUAUUAUAUAUAAAAUUCAAGAACUUUCCAUUUCAUUCCAAAAUUCGUUGCAUAUUCAAUGGCACAAGUGAUGAUUAUUCAAGUUUAUUUUCAAAAUUCAAUAAAUGUUGAAAUAAAAAGAGAAAAUUCAUAAAAUGGUAUAACUUCAAAUUAUAUAUGGUUAAUAAAUGAACUUAAAGAGAAUUGUGGUAAGAUAAUGAUAAGUUUUGUUUAUGGAAAUUGAACUCUCUUCAUGUUUCAAAGGUGUUUCAACUUUUGAAUUGUAUUUAAAAUAACAUUAUUAGGAAUAAUUAGUAAAUUAUUUCAUUGACCUUAACAAUAUUAUUUAUGUAUUUGAUGUUGAAAUUUAAUUUGUCUAUAGAAAUGGAAAAUAUGUUUAAAAACAAAUUUUUCUUAUAUUGUAGUUCUUGACUUGACUUGUGUUUGAGUGGGACUAAAAGUUUCACUUUCUAAGAAAUUGAGACAAAAAAAUUAUUUAUAUAUAUCUUUCUUUCUUAAUUAUAAAUAUAUCUUUUAAAAAUAAAUUUGUCUUCAAAUUAAUAUAGUCUACAUAUGUAUCGUUUUUGUUAACAUAUGAGUUUUGGUCUAGCUCUCCCAUAUUUUUGUAUUUUUUUUUAAUAAUACUUUUUUCAUGUGAUGACAAAUGAUUGUUGUUACUUUAGGUGUCAGUCUAGCCUAGCUGAGAUGUCAAGUAGCAUAGUGAUGCCUAACAUGAAAGUUUUUUAUAAAAAAAAAAUUAAAUGAUUCUUCACACAUAAUAAUUCACUCCAUCUAAAUGACUUCUAAUAAAAAAGUUUAUAAAUUUCAUAAAUUAUAAACUAUUAAUAAUGGGAGGUUUUAUGUAAAAGACUUAUUCAAUCGCUAAAAAUAAAUAAAAACAAGUUAGAAAAAAAGAAGAAGUUAGUUUCACUAAAAUUGUUCGACCAAACUUUUAAAGCAAGAUUGAAUUAAAUACUUGGUAUGAAUAAAAUUAAAAUAAUUUUGAAUUUAAUAAAAAAAUAUAAAAUUUGAUGUUGUAAUUUUGAGCUAGGAUAAGUUUUUAGCAAAGACAUGAUAUGUGGUCCACAUGCAUGCAUUUGGUUCAUGUCGACAUAAUUGACCUUAUUAUUGUUUUUAUAUUUGAAGAAAGAGAGAUUGUAGGACUCAUCCUUUGCUAUGUCUAUUUUUGCUACCCCAAUCAAUAAGGGCAUUAUGUCCUUAUUAUAUACUCUUAAAGCUUUAUGACUCAUCAAAUUCCACUUGCGUAUUACGUUUUCCAAUUCUCAUUAUCUUUACCACUUCAUGGGAUCUACUUAUAAUUAUAACCCUUCUUUAUCCUUCUAUAUUAUAAAUGAAAUUUUAUAGAAUAUUCAUAUUAUUUCUUAAUGUUUUUCUGUCAUUUAGUUUAUGACACUACAAUAGAAUUUUAGAAUGAUAUGAUUAUUCAUCUACCCUUAAGAUUUUUUUUAAAACUACCAUAAAAAAAAUUAUGCACUAUCUUUACAUACUAUCUUAUUAUCAUUCUAUUGUUAUUUUUUUAAAAAUUUAGCACACAAAGAUAAGAUACUAUGUGUUCUUACAAAGUACUAUUGUAGGGAUGGAGUGUUCCUCACUUGUUAUGUGUUUUAGUUUUCAGUCUUAUCGUUCUUUCAGUCUUCUCUGUAAGAGUAUUUGCGAUGAAACUUUGACGCUUAAGUCAAUUUUAAGGAUAAGAGUGUCAAAGAUUUUAUAGGAUUAGAGUUUCAUUACCUUUUUUUGGAGGCUAACCUCUUAUUUAUAAAUAUGAUUUUAGUUUUAGGACGUUAUGUACUAAUACAACCCAACUGAGUUUAAUUUACCUAUUAAUCAUAAUUUGAAUGAUUGUGUGAUACCUACUUAAUGACAUUGCUGAUUAAUCUUAAAUGUAAACGGGAUGGCUAAGAAGUUAGUUGGUGGAGUGUUUACGUGUAUGUGAGUGUUCAACCUCCAGUAGUAUACUAUGUAAUUAUAGUUUGAGAGUUAUAUUUGUAAAAGCAAAAUACAUUUUUAUAGAAAACUAUUGAAUGUUUAUAGUUCUAUGUAACUUACAAUUGUAUCAUUUGGAGUUUCUCUAAAUAUAUUAUUUUUUCAGAUUUAAAAUUGAUUUUCUUAAAAUAUUUAGAUAGGGUAAAUUAAGACAAGAAGACUAAAAAUAUUAAUUAAGAUUAUUAUGAAAGUUUGAGAAGAUGAGAGGAAUAUGCUUGGCAGAGAAGCAAACAGAAGGGAACAAAGUUGAUACAAUAAAAGAGUAAUUUGAAAGGGAAACACCACCGUCCCAUUUUUUUUAGCAUCUUCAUGGACUCCACUUUUUGUCUCAUCUUCUGCUACAAACUUUAAGAAAUACCAAUGGAAGCUUCAUUUGAUUUUGCUCCUUCUUCUAUCCUAAAAGUUAACACUAAAACUCAUAAAAUAAUAUCACCUACAUAUUAAUAUAGUAAAGAACUUUAUCGUGUAGUAAUACUUCUUUCCUUAUAUGAUCAAUAUUUUUCUCUAUAAAUAUGUUAGUGCCUUACCAUAUUAAAGGCCACAACUUUUUUGAUAAAAUAAGUAGGUUUAAUUUUUUUUUUAAUAAAACUUUUUUGAUAAAUAUGUUAGUGCCUUAACAUAUAACAUUUAAUCAAAAUAUAUGAUGUUGGUCUUUUGUUUUAUCAGAUAAUUAUAUAAACCUCUAAUAAAGUAGAUGAGAAAGAAUCUUUUAAGAGGAACGACAUAACCUUGAACUUAUCGAGACCUUGAAUAAUUUGGAUGAUUUGUCCAGAUGGUCUGUUAAGUCCCUAGGAGGUCUAUUGAGACACUAGAUAGUUUGUUUAUCAAAAAAUCAUGUGUGGAGUUUAUGUUUUUAUGUUUUGAUGAUAACAAAAGCUGAUUGAAUGGUUUACUUGUAUCUUGAUUGUUCUAACAAUGUUUUAUACUGCUACAAUUUUUAAUAUACUCUCUAAACAUCUAUAACAUACAUGUGUUUAUAAUAGACGUUCUAAUAAAAAUGAUUGAUUGGAUAACAAAAUUUAGAUUAAAUAUCUUAUUGAAUAAUAUGUUUUAUCUUUGAUUUAAAUUAUCUAACAAUGUUUAGUGAAAAUUACAAUAUAUAAUACCAUAUGUGAUUAUCAAUUUCAUAUGUGAUUGGAUUGUAGGAUGGUCUUUGAGUAACGAAUCCAAAAUAGGAGCAUGUCAAUCUCAACACCUACAACAAUCAUCUUCGAAUAUACAUAAGCAUUAUCUUGGAAAGCCUUACCUACAAACGGAUUGUGUUAUCAUGAUCAAUUUGUAUGAUGGAUUGAAGAUUUUAGGGAUCAAUCUGGGUGCUAAUUAAAGUUAGUUAAUGACACUUAAUAAUUUUUGACAACUUUCUUUAUAGAAGAUGCUAAGAAUUUUUAGCAAUUUCUAAAGAAAAUAUUUGCUUUAGAAAAAUAAUUUAAAAUAUUUUUUGAAAUAUUCUAAAAAGUCACUCAAAAGAAAUAUUUAAUUUCAACCCAUUUUUUUAAAAAAAUCUUUUACAAAUACUAUUUCUAUUCUGCAUAACAAAAAUGGGAAGAAGAAUGAACCCAACAACUCCGUAACAGAGAAUAAUCACGAAUAACCAAAUUAGAUGUUAAUUAGAUGAUGAAAAUAUCUAAAUUCAAUUAUUAAACAAAAGCAUGAAUAGAACAAAUACAUACACAGCACAUAAACUUCAGUUCAUAUAAACCCUAAAUGCAGGAAAGGGUAAUCCACUAAAACCAGGAUGAUACAACGCAUACAGAGAUCCAUUAAACUUGAGAGAAGAUAGCUGAAAGAGAGCAAAACUGGAUGCUCUGGAGUCUAGGGAAAAAUUAUUUAAUAGUCAUCUGCAUCAUUGUCAUCUUCAUAAUCUCCAUAAUCUUCGUCUUCAUCAUCUUCGUCUUCAUCUUCUGAUUCCAAGUAAUACCUAACAUGUUCAUCUGAUUCUAGUCCCAAGUAAUUCCUCAUCUCCAUGGCCUCAUCUGAUCCUGAUAGAAAGUAAUUUUUAAGGACUUCCCGGUAAUCAGCAGGGUCGUGCCACCAUGUUGGGGUAUUCAGAAUGGUCUCCUCCAACCAAAACUCGCAGUCAUCUUCCUCUUCUUUCGGUGCCGUCAGGGUAUUGUAGACCAGACCACAUUGAUACAUGGCAUUCUUCAGUCGAACACUCUGACUUCCACCGAAUAUAUACCUGAUAUAGUCUCUAGCUAGCUUUGUGAGUUCCUCCCCAGUGAUAAUAUAAAUGUACUGCAAAAAGUAUGUGUAAGAAAUGAGGAAUGGCGUAUGUCCUAUUAACUUCUAAUCAUUUUUCAUGUCCAAUGUGACUCUAUACCAUCAAAAGUUUGCAUAUGGACAUCUUUUACAAACUUAAAAGCCUCCUACACUCUCAUGUACUUCUGCAAUUAGCUACUUCUAUCAUUAUUUUACAUCAUACACUAGUACAACUCGGAAGACUUCUUUCAUUAAUAAUACACACAAUUAUUAUGUUACUUCCACCUAAACGUCACCUUCCCGUUUUCAUAAUCUUAAUUUUCACACACAAUAAAAACAAAUACUUCAGAAUUGAGCUAAAUGAAAAAAAAACUUAUUUGUGCACACAUGACACAUCAAAAGAGAGAGUACCAGAAAUAUAAAGCCAAGGGUAGCUAGAAACACUUGGAGAUUUUCUUUCCACAUCUCAGCAAGGCUUUCAUCCUCUGAAUCACCAGAGCCAUCAGGACUACCACCACCCCUACCACUGUUGCCGCCUCCUCCUCCUGGUGGUUUCACUUCCCCGCCACCACCACCACUGUAUUCACCCUUUUCAAUUUGCCGCCGUAACACAUCCUCUAUUGAAUUUUGCCCCUUAAAUUUUCCUAUAGCUUUCUCAAUAGAUUUCCAUGGGGAAUUCUGAUUACAUUUAUAAUGUCAGUAAAAUGUAGGAAUAUCCCAACACACACACAUAUAUAUAACUAAAAGAGUAGUUCUCUUUCCUUUCACACAGAUUCAUGAUAGACAAAAUUAAUGACAAUUCUUGUGCUUCAGAGGCAUUGAAAAGAAAAGAGUUGCUUCUAGUCUAUUUUUAUUCUAAAUGUUUGGUCUACUGCUAAAAUAUUACUGCGAAAACACAGCCUUCUGCAGCUUAGCUUCAUCAUUUCCUAACACAAUUCUUUAACUAAAAUAGAAAAUAUGUAUAUAUAACUAAAAGAGUAGUUCUCUCCCAUUUCCCACAGAUUCACCAUGAUAGACAAAAUUAAUGACAAUUUUGUACUUCAGAGGCAUUGAAAAGAAAAGGGUUACUUCUCGUCUAUUCUAUUUAACUGUUUGGUCUACUGCUAAAAAUAUUUCUUAAAAAACACAGCUUCCUGCAGCUUAGCUUCGUCAUUUCCUAACAUAAUUCUUUAACUAAAAUAGCAACUUGCAGUAACUUGAUCGGAGAUUUUUCUUCGUCAAAAAGAUCACAUACCCCAAAUCAUUGAUUACACUCCAUUUCAUUAGGGUACUAUAUGCAUGUUUACAUUAAACCUUAACAUGUUAUGACAUUCUAACAACAACAAACUAAAGCAAAAGUCAAAAUAAUAUGCAAUACCUCAUCAUCAUUUCCCAUCAUCCCUUUUUCACCAGCUAAGCAAAUAUGGAGAGGUUUCCGAGAUUGUGAAAUAGGCCAACAUUUCAAGCCAAACGAUUGUCUUGCUCUUACGGUGAGUAGAGCACAAGAGCAAGGACCAAAACUGUUUGGUAAACCAUAUGGUUUUGAAUGAAGCUUGUGCAACCGAGAUAUAUUUUUCCCAGAAAUCCCAGGCUGGCAUGCAGUAACUUGUGCAAUGUUCAUUUUUGUCAAACAGCUCAGCUACCCCCGAGUUUCAAACAUUACACUCUAGCAUUUCACAUAAUCAAGCUUCAAUUCAAAUUGGUUAAGUCGAAACUUUUUAAACAGUAGCUACCACACUACUAAAAAUGCAACAAGAGACAUAAUGACACGUCUCCAGCAUAAUUUUCUUCAAAAAUUUGCAAAACAAAACACUGCCACCUUCAACAACAACUUAACCAAAACCUCACAGAAAAAAGAGAGAGAAAAUAGUCAUUACAUAACAGCCCCUUCCCCCCAAAUAAGACCCAGAAAACAAUUAACAUCAAAUAGGUUUGAAAUGAGUUUAGAAUGCAUAUAAAAUCAAGCCAAAAUUGAAAAAUAAAUCCCUUCCACCAACACGUUUGCUUUUCAUGACGUGAAUAUUGAAACAAAAUCCCCAAGUGUAAGCUCAUAGACACUAGCAUUUCACAUAAUCAGACUUCAAUUCAAAUUGCUUCUGUCAGUUUUUAGAAAACUAGCUACCACGCCACUAAACAUGCAACAAGAGACACAAUGACAUAUCUCCAGCAUCAUUUUCUUCAAUAAUUUAUAAAAAAUGAGUUCAAAUCGAAAAAAAUAAGUCCCUUCCACUAACAUUUUCUUUUCAUGAUGUGAUUAUUAAAACGAAACAAAAUCCCGAAGUGAAACAUGUGGAGCUAGUUCUCUGAGAAAU